GACGAACGCUGGCGGCGUGCUUAACACAUGCAAGUCGAACGGAAAGGCACUGCUAUUGUGGGGUGCUCGAGUGGCGAACGGGUGAGUAACACGUGAGUAACCUGCUCUUGUCUUUGGGAUAACUUCAGGAAACUGGGGCUAAUACCGGAUAGGAGCUCCUGUUGCAUGGAGGGGGUUGGAAAGUUUCGGCGGUUGGGGAUGGACUCGCGGCUUAUCAGCUUGUUGGUGGGGUAGUGGCUUACCAAGGCAUGGACGGGUAGCCGGCCUGAGAGGGUGACCGGCCACAUUGGGACUGAGGUACGGCCCAGACUCCUACGGGAGGCAGCAGUGGGGAAUAUUGCACAAUGGGCGGAAGCCUGAUGCAGCAACGCCGCGUGCGGGAUGACGGCCUUCGGGUUGUAAACCGCUUUCGCCUGUGACGAAGCGUGAGUGACGGUAAUGGGUAAAGAAGCACCGGCUAACUACGUG
Molecule: ribosomal RNA, 468 nt
Filed under: uncultured bacterium
Lineage: Bacteria
Description: partial 16S ribosomal RNA
Rfam family: Bacterial small subunit ribosomal RNA
Source: RNAcentral